RNAcentral lists this unclassified non-coding RNA (233 nucleotides) under Hevea brasiliensis (rubber tree). Lineage: Eukaryota; Viridiplantae; Streptophyta; Magnoliopsida; Malpighiales; Euphorbiaceae. The record is from RNAcentral.
CCGACUUGCCCAUAAGAUCUCAAGGCGACUUUCCUUUCUCUAAUCAAACAAUAAACAGAGACGAGGCAAAGUUUGCCCCUUUCUAAUCAAACAAUAUACAGAGACGAAGCAGAGUUUGUUUCAAAACAAACCGAAGGGCUUGGAAAAGAUGUCGUACGACGACGUGGAGAUAGAGGACAUGGAAUGGAACGAGGAGUUUCAAGCAUACACCUACCCGUGCCCUUGCGGCGACC